Molecule: ribosomal RNA, 301 nt
Filed under: uncultured bacterium
Lineage: Bacteria
Description: partial 16S ribosomal RNA
Rfam family: Bacterial small subunit ribosomal RNA
Source: RNAcentral
CAGCCGCCACGGGAAUACGGAGGGGGCUAGCGUUGUUCGGAAUUACUGGGCGUAAAGCGCACGUAGGCGGCUUGGUAAGUUAGAGGUGAAAUCCCGCAGCUCAACUGCGGAACUGCAUUCGAUACUGUUCAACUAGAGGAUCGGAGGGGGAAGCGGAAUUCUUGGUGUAGCGGUGAAAUGCGUAGAUAUCAAGAGGAACACCGGUGGCGAAGGCGGCUUCCUGGAAAAUACCUGACUCUGAAACACGAAAGCCAGGGGAGCGAAUGGGAUUAGAUACCCGCGUAGUCCCUGUCUCUUAUAC